Molecule: ribosomal RNA, 253 nt
Filed under: uncultured bacterium
Lineage: Bacteria
Description: partial 16S ribosomal RNA
Rfam family: Bacterial small subunit ribosomal RNA
Source: RNAcentral
UGCGUAGGGUGCAAGCGCUAAUCGGAAUUACUGGGCGUAAAGCGUGCGCAGGCGGUUUUGUAAGUCUGUCGUGAAAUCCCCGGGCUUAACCUGGGAAUUGCGAUGGAGACUGCAAGGCUGGAGUUUGGCAGAGGGGGGUAGAAUUCCACGUGUAGCAGUGAAAUGCGUAGAGAUGUGGAGGAACACCGAUGGCGAAGGCAGCCCCCUGGGUCAAAACUGACGCUCAUGCACGAAAGCGUGGGGAGCAAACAGG